Molecule: long non-coding RNA, 368 nt
Organism: Sciurus carolinensis (gray squirrel)
Lineage: Eukaryota; Metazoa; Chordata; Mammalia; Rodentia; Sciuridae
Exons: 3
Source: RefSeq, a predicted model, not a curated record
AGUGUGUGGGGCCCGCCAUGAACGUCCCCCCUGGAGUUUUUAGCCCCCCUACAUGUCCAUUCAGAGCCUCCAGCUGUUCAUCAAUCACAACUCAGGUUUCUGUGCCUAGCACUGGCUCCUGGAGGUUGGCCUUGGGGACUUCGGCUCAGUUUGACACUGAUGGCGUUUCCUUUCUGAGAAAGAAAGACUGCCUACCUGCGCACUGCUGGGGUGUAUUUGGGGACACGCUCCAUGGACUGAAUGAGCUUCUGAAAACAACAAGAACAAGAAGCCUACUGACCCUUGUACCAGGAUAUCUCAAAUCAGAGAUGCUUGUUUCAUGAAUCGUGCUUUACCACACUGUAAGGAGAGAGAAUUCUCCACCUCAG